RNAcentral lists this ribosomal RNA (260 nucleotides) under Enterobacter mori. RNAcentral describes it as "partial 23S ribosomal RNA". It matches the Rfam family "Bacterial large subunit ribosomal RNA", at positions 1688 to 1955 of the family's 2925-position model. The record is from RNAcentral. Lineage: Bacteria; Pseudomonadati; Pseudomonadota; Gammaproteobacteria; Enterobacterales; Enterobacteriaceae.
GAGCGAGAAAACCAAUGUCAAGGAACUCUGCAAAUUCAUCCCGUAAGUUCGCAAGAAGGGAUGCCCACCCUAAAAAGUGGGCCGCAGUGAAUAGUAAGGGGGAACUGUUUAUCAAAAACACAGCUCUAUGCUAAGUCGUAAGACGAUGUAUAUGGGGUGACUCCUGCCCAGUGCCCGAAGGUUAAGCAAAGGUGUUAGCUUUAGCGAAGCAUUGAUGUGAAGCCCGGGUGAACGGCGGCCGUAACUAUAACGGUCCUAAG